This 465-nucleotide ribosomal RNA is filed under the name uncultured bacterium. RNAcentral describes it as "partial 16S ribosomal RNA". It matches the Rfam family "Bacterial small subunit ribosomal RNA", at positions 28 to 507 of the family's 1533-position model. The record is from RNAcentral.
GACGAACGCUGGCGGCGUGCUUAACACAUGCAAGUCGAACGGAAAGGCCCCUUUGGGGGUCCUCGAGUGGCGAACGGGUGAGUAACACGUGAGUAACCUGCCCUUGACUUCGGGAUAACUUCAGGAAACUGGGGCUAAUACCGGAUAGGAAUCCUUGCUGCAUGGUGGGGGUUGGAAAGCUUCGGCGGUUUUGGAUGGACUCGCGGCUUAUCAGCUUGUUGGUGGGGUAGUGGCUUACCAAGGCUUUGACGGGUAGCCGGCCUGAGAGGGCGACCGGCCACAUUGGGACUGAGAUACGGCCCAGACUCCUACGGGAGGCAGCAGUGGGGAAUAUUGCACAAUGGGCGGAAGCCCGAUGCAGCAACGCCGCGGGCGGGAUGACGGCCUUCGGGUUGGAAACCGCUUUCAGCAGGGGCGAAGCUUGUGGUGACGGUACCUGCAGAAGAAGCACCGGCUAACUACGUG